This 1453-nucleotide long non-coding RNA is filed under the name Canis lupus familiaris (dog). RNAcentral's name for it is "lncRNA (ENSCAFG00000051064.1, ENSCAFG00845028269.1)". Lineage: Eukaryota; Metazoa; Chordata; Mammalia; Carnivora; Canidae. The record is from RNAcentral.
GUUUCCUUUUCCAGGGACAGAACUCUUUUGCACAGAUCUAUGCCCUUUGUGACCAAAAUUGCCAUGUGGCAAGGAUUUUGAAAGAAGAUAUAAAUUGCCUACAAUUUAAUAUAUCUGAAAAUUUGAUUUCUACCUUUUAUGCAUUUUCAUAAAUGUCUUCAUUAAUAUUGGCAACAUGAGGCACAAAAGACAGACCAACCUAAGACAUAUUUCCCAGAACCCUCUGAUCAUAUGGUAUGGGCAAUCAUAGAACAUCGCCGAGGGCUUCAGUCCUCCCAAGCCAAUCUGCUCUGUUACUGGAAAUUUUGGUCCUCUCGGAGUGUUGAAUGAAGCUUAAAGUUUUUUAGAGUCCAAAUUCAAUUCUCUCUUUCUGGCUUUCUUUCUAAGAAGAAUAAAGUUUAGUAACAUAAUGCGAGCAGUUUUCUUCAGAAUAACCAGUCAGUAUUCUCCUCUGUUGGAUAAACCCAAAGCCUAGGUUUUUGUACCCAACGUGUGACUCAGGUCACUGAGUAAGCCUAUCAUUCUUUAUUUUCGUGUUUUCUUCCACUGAUAAGAGAGAACCAGGACAGACCUUAGCCAAUUGCUGCUCCUCCCGUUUGAAGGAAACUUCGGCUGUACCUGUUCUUUCAUCUCCUGUGUGGAAAAAUGUCUAUCGACUUGAAGCCCUAGGAGUCUUAAUUUUCAAGGAUUUUAGUUGUAAGCCGUUCAAGGCAUGAGCUAAGGUUUCAGGCAAAGGAGGAAGAUCAACAAUGGAAUAAAAGACAGCUGGAAACAGCUCCUAUGUAAUACCCAAAGCUAGGACUUCCCCACGAAUGUACCACAAACAGACUAAUUCCACCUACUGGAAAAUGGGAAAAUGGAUAAACAUAUCAUUCGAGGGUCUAUCAUCACUAGAACACAGCUGAUCGGUAUUUAAAUAAUUGCGUUUUUAAUGUACAGAACAAACAAGAUUUCUUUUUUUAAAUUGAAAUGUAUUGACAUAUAACCUUGAGUAAAUUUAAGGUACACAACAUGUUAAUUUGAUACAUUUAUAUAUUGUAUUAUGAUUGUCAUUGUAGCAAUAAUUAGCACCUCUGUCCGAUUUCAUAAUUAUCCUUUCCUUUAAAAGUCGUUGGAAUAAUUAAGUUCUAGUCUCUAAGCAAGUUUCAUGAUUAUAAUACCAUAUUGUUAUCCGUAUUUACUAUAUUUUGCACUAUAUCUCUAGGGUUUAUUUACUGCUUGUAAGUUUGUCCUCUUAAACAACAUCUGUCUUAUUUCCCCAUCCUCUAUCCCCUACUAACCACCCUUUUAUUGUCUGUUUUUAUAAGUGUGGUUUCUUAAAAUUCCACAUAUAAGUGAUAUCAUCAAGUGCUUGUCUUUAUGCAACUUAUUUCACUUAGCAGAGUGUGCCCAAGGUCCAUUCAUGUUGUUUCAAGGAGCAGGAUGUACUCCUUUCUCAUGUCUGAAUAAUAUU